UACAGGGGGUGCAAACGUUGCUCGGAAUCAUUGGGCGUAAAGCGCACGUAGGCGGUUUGUUAUGUCGGAUGUGAAAGCCCUUGGCUCAACUGAGGAAGUGCAUCCGAAACUGGCAAGCUAGAGUACUAAAGAGGGUCGCGGAAUUCCCGGUGUAGAGGUGAAAUUCGUAGAUAUCGGGAGGAACACCAGUGGCGAAGGCGGCUCACUGGACAGGUCCUGACACUGAGACGCGAAAGCGUGGGUAGCAAACAGG
This 253-nucleotide ribosomal RNA is filed under the name uncultured bacterium. RNAcentral's name for it is "partial 16S ribosomal RNA". It matches the Rfam family "Bacterial small subunit ribosomal RNA", at positions 524 to 776 of the family's 1533-position model. The record is from RNAcentral.